RNAcentral lists this long non-coding RNA (447 nucleotides) under Setaria viridis. RNAcentral's name for it is "long non-coding RNA (SVIR_LNC010878)". Lineage: Eukaryota; Viridiplantae; Streptophyta; Magnoliopsida; Poales; Poaceae. The record is from RNAcentral.
AGGGAGCCUUGCGGACAGGGAAAAGGAGCAUCGGUUUGGAGGUGAAGGAUGGAGAGAGAAGGGUGAGUUCAGGGUGAGUUUGGACCCUUGACACAUGACGAACUAAAAGUUAAAAUACCGCAGAAAUAGUCCCGCUCUUUAGAAAUAUAAGGUAAAAAAGGUAAAGAUAGAUAGAGUAACGGUAUACAAAGUUAGAGUGCAAUACGAUCGGAUCGAAUAAACCAGGAUACAAAUCGGAGUCUUGGUUUUCUUUUUUUUUCCUUUCGAUCGGAAUUGAUAUGGAUAGUGUUUGAAUGCAGCCACGUAUAUUUCUUUGGAAAAUGAGUAAAAGCAACAGCCCUAUAUAUCAUACAUGCUCUAUUUGGCCACUCGAUAAGUGCAAAUCAAACUAGGUUUUGCUCAAAGAACCAAAAUAUUAAUUUAUUGAGUUGCAUGGAUAUAUGGGUA